Molecule: ribosomal RNA, 460 nt
Filed under: Aeromonas media
Lineage: Bacteria; Pseudomonadati; Pseudomonadota; Gammaproteobacteria; Aeromonadales; Aeromonadaceae
Also listed under: 2 other names
Description: partial 16S ribosomal RNA
Rfam family: Bacterial small subunit ribosomal RNA
Source: RNAcentral
AAAUUGAAGAGUUUGAUCAUGGCUCAGAUUGAACGCUGGCGGCAGGCCUAACACAUGCAAGUCGAGCGGCAGCGGGAAAGUAGCUUGCUACUUUUGCCGGCGAGCGGCGGACGGGUGAGUAAUGCCUGGGAAAUUGCCCAGUCGAGGGGGAUAACAGUUGGAAACGACUGCUAAUACCGCAUACGCCCUACGGGGGAAAGCAGGGGACCUUCGGGCCUUGCGCGAUUGGAUAUGCCCAGGUGGGAUUAGCUUGUUGGUGAGGUAAUGGCUCACCAAGGCGACGAUCCCUAGCUGGUCUGAGAGGAUGAUCAGCCACACUGGAACUGAGACACGGUCCAGACUCCUACGGGAGGCAGCAGUGGGGAAUAUUGCACAAUGGGGGAAACCCUGAUGCAGCCAUGCCGCGUGUGUGAAGAAGGCCUUCGGGUUGUAAAGCACUUUCAGCGAGGAGGAAAGGUUG